Molecule: long non-coding RNA, 3444 nt
Filed under: Penaeus japonicus
Lineage: Eukaryota; Metazoa; Arthropoda; Malacostraca; Decapoda; Penaeidae
Description: uncharacterized LOC122242728
Source: RNAcentral
GUCUCGAGCAAUCAGUCGAAACGCUUCAUGACUUGGUUGUUGUGCCUGGAGGUGCGGAGAGCGAAUCUUAUGCAAAUUACGGGCCUAAUUUUCUUACUGUCUGAUGACCUGAUAGAGAUGCUGCAGUAUUUAACUAAACAAAGGUAAUAACCAAAUUUACCAUAAAGACAAAGAUGACCACAGAGCUCAGAAUGAUGCAGUCACCAGAACCCACCAGAGCAACUUGCUCAACACUCAAAACUGCAGAAAUGAUGUCCCUAUCAGUUCAGUUAAUAAACAUGUCAAUGCAGCUACUUAUCAUCUGGGCGCAGAUGUUGACUAUGUGGGCUCGGAUAAUAACCAUAACAGCUCAGUUACUGACGCUCCUGGCGAGGAUGGUAACUGUAGCAGUAGAACUAAUGACUCCUGCAGGGGAAGCAUUUCUAACAGCUGUCAGGAUGAUGAAUUCACUGAUUGAGUUUGUGAGAUCUGCGGUUGCUGUGGACAUAAGGAAUGAUGCUUUUUUGUGAACUGAUUUCCUGUUUAUGGAGUUUCAGCCUUAAUGGUAACCUUCCAUGGUAAAUGUCAGCUAGUAGGAUGUCUUAUUAGAUAACUACUAUGACAAAUGUGAAAAACCACAUGGUGAAGUAUAUCAUAAUGAAAAAAUUGUUGUAGGCCUAAAAUCUAGUGUUGCAUUUUCUGUGCAUCUUGAAUAAAUAUUUUGGGAGGAGGAUAUCACCUCUUUUUUUCCUUUGACUGUAUGCAUAUUAUUAUCUCAGAAAAUCACUUUUGGAAUGUCAGUUGCUUACUCUGUAAUGAUAGUUUAACCAAUAGUUAUAAGUAAAUUAAUUUUAUCAUCAUCAUAAAGCUGUUGAUCUUUUUUUCUUUCCCCCUUAUUUCUUUUAAUCUGUUUCUUUCCAUUGGUUUAUUUUGAACCAAAUAGUGUUGUAGUAAUCUUACUCUUGAAAUAGGUUGGACUUUAAGAUUUGAUAUAAAUUUUCUCUCUCCAUGUUGAUAUUGUGUUAUUUAUUUCUGUAGUUAUAUUUAUGAUGAUGUCAGCUUGUGUUAAAUGCAGUGAAUCCAGAUAUAGGCUGAUAUUGAUAUUGUAAUUUUUUGUUUUCAUUCUUUCUUUUUGGCUAAAGGCAUACUGUUAUUGUCAGUGUUAUAUAUUUUAUGUAGGAGGCCAUAGCAUGUAUGCAAAUUAUUGUUUUUUGUGUGAAUACCAAUCAUAUAUGUAUGACACAAAAUAAUGGUUUAUACAAAGAUUUUGAUGCUGUCAAAAUAGCAUUCAAAACUAUUUGGAAAAUAUACUUCAAGGUAAUGUAACAACUAGACUAUACAGGGAGAGAUUUUUCCCUAAAAUUUCAAAAAGCUUUUCAAAUCAGUAGUUGAAAAUAUAACUUGAUUAUAUAUCAUAUGCCAGUUCACCCUUUGAUUUCAUAAUCAUUUAAUGAGUUGUAUAAUUUCAAGGCAAGAGUGUAUUUAUUCUUGAUAUAUUCUUAGUAUUUUUACUACAAUGUGCUUUUUCAAUUUUUUUUUUGUAGCCAUAAAUAGGGAAUUGUCAAAUAUGUCAAAUAAAUCAUCAGUGUAUGUAUAUAAAAAAUUGUUGUUCUGCAAGAUUUUGUUUUAUUCAAUGUCUCUAAGAGAAUAAGAAAAGAAAUACCAAUUUUAUAAUGCUGAUGUAUGUUCAUUUCUGGAUGGAAAAAUAUAAUCCCAAUUUAAAGAAUUAUUCUCAUAACACCAGUGGGGCACAGAUAGUCGAGGCCCUUUUCACAAUGGUCGGAAAACUGUAUUGCUGAAUUUGCUUUUGAUAUUCAUACACGCUGAUUGUAUUUUGUCAAUUAUGUAAUUGUUUUCACUACAUCACGUGUAAUACAACUUACUGUAGUAACUGGGAUGAAGUGGGCUACAUUUCAUGACCGUUCUGAAAGCUGCUGCUUGUUAGCACUGAUAAUUGUUGGAUAAUUUCUGCAAUAGAGGUGCUAAAUCCCAUACUUAAAGUAGUGCAAUUAUCACACUUAAUUUAUUGUAAUAUAUUGAAUUAUAAAAAGGUGAUACAUAAUAUAUUUUGAGAGGUAACAGUUAUUAAUACUUACAUGGCAAUUCUACUAUAUUAUGUCAAAACUAUAAAUUAUAAUUGCUUUAGGGAAUAGUCUAUGCACAUGUUUUCUCAGCAUUUACCAGCUGUUCUAGCCAGUUAUUGGUAUUUUAAUAGUGUCUUUUGAUAUAAAACUAUUGAAUUUGCUUAAAAAGAAUAGUUGAUCAGAAGAAGUUUGGUAUUAAAAUGAGAGUGAAUAAUGCUUGUAGAUAAGGAGGUAUAAAUGAGAUUGAAUAUUUUCAAAAACCCAAGAGAUGUAAUGCAUUUCAAUAAUCUUCUGCAGAAUUAUAUGUAAUUUUGACAAAGAUUAUUGAAAAGUGUUGAUUACAUCUCGUGAGGUUAUUCACUCUCGUUUAUAUGCCUCUAAAAUGGAUCCUAUGGAACUUAAUAUUGGCAAAUAGAAGACUAAGCUUGUAGUCUGUAGUUCUUUCUUUACUAAUUGAGAACAGACUGUAUUACUUCUGUAUGAUUUAUGCUACAUGUUUUGCUGAGGAAAAUGUAUAGACAAAACAAGUAAUAUUUCAUAAUUCACUUUCAUUAGGUCAGUAGAUCCCAGGAGGCUUGGCUUAUGAAUAUCCUUCCUUUGUAUACAGAUAUGAAUUCAAUUUAAAGUUAAUUCAUAAUGUUGAGAAUUAUGAUGUGAAUUUACAUUUAAAGAAAAAGUGUUGCAUACAGUGACAGCUUUCCUGUUCUUUUAUGUUAGUAAGGUAGUUACUAUAUUAAGUAGUAACUUGAUAACCAUAGAUUAAUAACUUGAACACUGAGAGAAUUGUAUCUUGUGUUAUAAUAAUUACAUUGUUAAGUUAUACCUCUUAAUGUUACCAAUAUUAAUUGGUUGCUUUUGUAACAUUCCCUGUUACCAGUAAUAAACUUUCUUUGUUAUCAAAUACUUCAUUAGGUUGUUUAGGUCUUGCAAGUAAUUAUUUUACCGAGUUGUCAUUAGGGAUAGAGGAAUAUCUUUGCAGCCAUUAGGUUGGUUAUAGCACACAGAAAAGACCUGUUUUGGGUCCCUUGAGAUGGGCCAUAUACUGUAUUAUUAUUAAUGUUGUGAUGUUUUUGUGUUACCCUGAAAAUAUGGGAAGAGUUUAUAGAUGUAUUUUUUAUUACUUCUUGUUUAUGGCUGAUUGUAAUCAAGAGCAAAAGUGUUAGAAUUAUUGACUUGCUACUCUGUUGCUUGUACUUAUCAGUAAAAGUUUGUGUUUAGAAUAGUGUGUGUUAAUAUUUCCAUAACUUUGUUCAUAGCCCAAGUUGUCAGGGAAAUCUUAAUUAAUUCUCAAUUGGGUUUAUGGAUUGUUUUGUUGGGAAUAUGGAGGAUAGCCAUAUUUUUGGAAAGAUCAUGUUUGACUGUCUUCUGGAUGUGAUUAUAA